AUCUACCUAGUAGUAUGGAAUAGCCAUUAGAAAUGAUGGGUAAUACUGUAUAAUCCCUGCGGGGGAAAGAUUUAUCGCUAUUAGAUGAGCCUACGUUAGAUUAGCUAGUUGGUAAGGUAAUGGCUUACCAAGGCUAUGAUCUAUAGCUGGUCUGAGAGGACGAUCAGCCACACUGGAACUGAGAUACGGUCCAGACUCCUACGGGAGGCAGCAGUGGGGAAUAUUGGACAAUGGGCGAAAGCCGAUCCAGCU
This 252-nucleotide ribosomal RNA is filed under the name Ehrlichia chaffeensis. Its description in RNAcentral is "partial 16S ribosomal RNA". It matches the Rfam family "Bacterial small subunit ribosomal RNA", at positions 124 to 392 of the family's 1533-position model. Lineage: Bacteria; Pseudomonadati; Pseudomonadota; Alphaproteobacteria; Rickettsiales; Anaplasmataceae. The record is from RNAcentral.